This 468-nucleotide ribosomal RNA is filed under the name uncultured bacterium. Its description in RNAcentral is "partial 16S ribosomal RNA". It matches the Rfam family "Bacterial small subunit ribosomal RNA", at positions 28 to 507 of the family's 1533-position model. The record is from RNAcentral.
GACGAACGCUGGCGGCGUGCUUAACACAUGCAAGUCGAACGGAAAGGCCCUGCUUUUGUGGGGUGCUCGAGUGGCGAACGGGUGAGUAACACGUGAGUAACCUGCCCUUGACUUUGGGAUAACUUCAGGAAACUGGGGCUAAUACCGGAUAGGAGCUCCUGCUGCAUGGUGGGGGUUGGAAAGUUUCGGCGGUUGGGGAUGGACUCGCGGCUUAUCAGCUUGUUGGUGGGGUAGUGGCUUACCAAGGCUUUGACGGGUAGCCGGCCUGAGAGGGUGACCGGCCACAUUGGGACUGAGAUACGGCCCAGACUCCUACGGGAGGCAGCAGUGGGGAAUAUUGCACAAUGGGCGGGGGCCUGAUGCAGCAACGCCGCGUGCGGGAUGACGGCCUUCGGGUUGUAAACCGAUUUCGCCUGUGACGAAGCGUGAGUGACGGUAAUGGGUAAAGAAGCACCGGCUAACUACGUG